This 4494-nucleotide long non-coding RNA is filed under the name Paramuricea clavata. Lineage: Eukaryota; Metazoa; Cnidaria; Anthozoa; Malacalcyonacea; Plexauridae. The record is from RNAcentral.
CAUUAAACAAAGUCCUGCACCCCCCUGUUUUUACACAAAUAUUUCAGAAUUUAGAGCUGUUUUCGGGUGUUUUUGAGCUAGAAAAUCUUUUCCUCGCACUUUACUUGUUUUACGAUGUGGAGGAAAAGUGCCGUUUUGUUCCGUUUGUUGAUGCAAGAAUUCACUAUCAAGAAAGAUUAACUAUUCUUUCAGGUAAGAUUCAUGAAACUAUUUUUACUUUGUAGAACCUUGCUAGAUAUAAAAUGACUCUCGAAAUGAGUCAAAUGACUAUAUUAGUACUAGAAGUUACUAUCGCAAGGAAAAUGCUGCCUCAACUCGCCUUCCAUCACACAAGCAAGUAAAGCACACCCCUAAAGCCGGUUUUCCACUUCAAACGUAUCGUACCGUAACAUUUUUUUGUGUCGAAAUCAUUAGUUCCACUCCUGCGGUCAGGAAACAAAGAAAUAUGCUACGUUUCACUACAAUACGGUUGAAGUGGAAAACCGACUUAAGGCACUUGUUCAAGAGGUAGGAAAAGUGCAAUUUGAACACGAAAACACCUUGCACAAAGUCAACGGUCAGCUAAAUAUUCUAAUCCUAUUGACUUCCACAAACUCCUUACUCUUCAAGAAAUUACUUCCUUGAAAAUUCCUUCAUUCUAAAAAAAGACUAAGGACUUUGUCAAAGUCUACAGGUCAUGCUAUGCAAGUUUUUAAUGAUUUGAAUUAUUGAAAUAGAUGCAGGUUUAUUAAUAUUAGCAUAGCAUGACCUGAUGACCAGUUGUCAUGGCUAGCUUGCCACUGGCACUGAAUACUGUAGUACUGUACAUUAUCAUGUAUAACAAACAAUAAUAAUACUUGAAUGAAUCAUUGGAUAUGUAGAGGUUAGCAAGAAAACUUUUCGACAAGUUUACAAGAAAGAUCUCGCCUGGUAUGAACAUAACAUGAAAAGUUACACUGCAUUCAUAUGAGACAACAAGUUUUCCCAUGUACUGAGAUCUCGCUUGUUGACAGGCAAUAUCUCUGCAGGCCUUUAGCCAAGGUCCUAAAAGAGGGCGUCCAAUUUUGGUACAACAAUACAUCUACAGUAAAGAGGUGGGGCAGGGGUCGAGAAAACGUUCUUCUGGAAAACCUUUGAAGUUUACGUUACUUCAUAUCAGUAUCUGUUCCAAGCCCAUUCGAAAUUUUCCACUUGGCUUUGUGAGUACUGAGUUUGUGCCGCCAUGCUUCUUUACUUAACUACCGUAAACUUCCGAAUAUAAGCCCCCCCCCCCCCUCCGAAUAUAAGCCCCCUAUGUAUAAGCCCACCACAUGUACUAACGCUCACCUCAUUCCAAAUAUAAGCGCCCUCACUGAAUAUAAGCCCCCUCCCCGAAUAUAAGCCCACCAGAAUAUAAGCCCACUUGUUUAUCACUAUUACCACUAUUAUACAUUACUAUGCUUAACACUUGUUUAUCAUUAUUACUAUACUUGUUUAUCACUAUUACACUAACACAAAAGAUUUUCCAUGUAUAUGCCCCCUCUGCCCCCAGUAUAUAAGCCCACCCUUGUAUAAGCCCAUCAAAAAUCGCUUACAAAAGAAUAUAAGCCCAUGGCUUAUAGUCUGAGGUUUACGGUACGACAUUUUCAUUCAGCCAGGUACACCAUCAAAUUGAUCAAAAUGUCAAAUGUAUAAUCAUAAUGAGAAUUGAAGCUAUUUCGUUUCGGAUAUAUUAAUAUACUUAAGGAAAUAAUUGAAAAUAAUUUCCCUUUUUCCCCAGAAUUUGGGCGUCCAAAGGCAUCCAUGUUUUGUUCUAGGGGCAUCCCAGGAUGCCUGGAUGCCUUUCUGGCUAAAAGCCUGGAUCUUGGUGACUGGGAUAAUGGUUUUCCCAUGAACACAACUUUCCCACUUAACAGGAUAACUUUUUGUCGUGUCAGCAACUAUUCAAUUCAUGUUCAGUGCUAUGUCACAACCAGCAACUUUAUCCGGUAAGUGGGAUAAAGUUUCUCCAUGUGAACAGAACAAAAGUAUUUGGCUAGUCGAAAACUUUUCUCGUUAACCGGGAUAAGUUUUUCCCUAUGAACAGGUUUCCCUAAGUCAGUUUUUGUCCCAGUUAUUGCUUCAAUGGCACCUUCAUGGCUACCCUUACGGCAGAACAACUUGAACAAUCUGCCGAUGGGAAGACAAAAUCUAUUUUGUUGACAUUUUUGUUUAAUACGUCAACUUUAGAUGACACCAUCCAUUUGUAAUGACCAAGACCGUACUCAGUCAGAACUGCAAAACUGUAUAAUAAGAAAGAAAUUGUGAGCAUUAUCGUAUACAAUUGUGUGUUCCAAUGCAGGCAUUAUACUGCUCAAUUGACCUUAUGCCUAAUGACAUCACAAGGUUUGAUGCCCACGAGGAAUGCUGGUCUACCGUCUUGUAGUCAUUGCCCAGGAAAAUAAAACAAUUCAAAAUGGCCACCAUUGAAAUUUUCCCAGGUGAUGACUACUAAGACCAGCAUUCCUCGCAAGCAUCACACCACAAAAUAAAUAAUAAGACCAGAAGUCUCACUCGAUGUCGGAAUCUUUGAUGUUGAUGUCCCCGCGCAUGUCGGCUCGCGCAUCUUGGCCGCGUCUCGUUUCCAGUGCCCUAAACAAGUGUAAUUUGACAAAUUUACAUGUAAACAUUAAGGAGUGAGGAAGUUAAAACGAUACCAAUCGAGUUUUAGAGCUUUGGAGACCAUUUUAAAAGAAUAUAUGAUAAAUUCAAAGGUAAGUCUAUCGUAUUGCAUUGUCUUAAAUGAAUUCUCAGCUAAAAUACGGCAAUAAAUGGAUCAUAAAUUUAGUUAAAUUCACUGUUGACAACGAGGUUGGACAGAUCCAAUGAUUUUUUUCCUUGAAUAGCUUUACCACAGUCAUUUUACCUUAAAAUGUAGAUACCGAGGAUAUCUCUAAGAGAUUUUACACAGAUUAUUUGCACAAUCUCACGAUUUAAUCAUGCUGAUAACAUGAAAAUCCUUGUGCCAUUGUAUACUUGGCAUAAUCUCCACAUCAAUAGUUCACCAGUUCAACACUUAUAAGUUAUAAAUUCAAUAUAUUUUUGAACCAGUCCAUAUAUUAUUAUACACAAUGUAGUAUAGUUAAUUUGACCAUUGAGAAGUAAGGGUGUAUUACAUUACACAGACACUGCUGAAUUUUAGGUUACAUACCAUUGGAUUGAUAUUUCUCAAAUUCAUUAAUAAUUCAUGAGUAAUUCAGCCAAUGAUAAUCACCUAUUUGAUCACAAGAUGCCAUUUGGAUAACCCGGUGAAACUUGAUGAAAGUCACUAGUGUUUUCAUCAAAUAUCUUAAUUACGCAUGCAAAAUUACUUGAAUAGAAUUCCUAAUUACGUUAUGCUUGGUUAAGAAUUCUAUUCAAAUCAGCAAACCAAAACAUUCUGUUACGUCUCGAUUCAUUUGAGAAGCCAUAUAAACAACUCGAGCUCGUGUCUCACCGGGAUAUCCAAACACUCGAAAACAAUGUAUGAAAACACUCGCGCUUCGCGCUCGUGUUCUCAUACAUUGUUUUCUCGUGUUUGGAUAUCCCGGUGAAACACUCACUGUCGUUGUUCAUAUAUUACAUAAAAACAUUUGUAAAAACACACAUUAUCUUGUUGAUAGAAUAGUUAUUUGCAGUAUACUAACUGUUGGCAUACUCUAUUUCAGGCCUAUCAAUUGUUUUUGUCACUGGCAAUCUUUGAAAUACAAUCUUGCUCUGUGACCUUUACUGACAAGUUGGCUUUUACUACAUAUGUGGCACUGACACCUCUUUAAUUAAUGCACCAGUCAAUGUAAACCCCCAACCGGGGAGGGGCAGGGAUUUUGACUUGGAGGGGUAGUAAAAGAGCAAAAUUGUCCCGCCCCCAGGGACAUCAAUGUCCCCUGCAUGUCUCUCAACCGCGGGAAAAUAGUUUUGUAUAAUCAUAGAUCAGCAAUAGAAAAUCAAAUUCAUUUAUGUUGUAUUUAAACUUUUCUUGUCAAGAAAACUAAAACAGCAACACAGGAUAUAUAUAUUAACCACCGUCCAAGUCUCCCAUCAUCGGGGCAAAUUUAUAAUCAAAACGGACCACUUUCCCUACUAAACCUCCCGCCCCUCCCCGGUUGGGGGCAGGGUUUACAUUGACUGGUGCAUAACUAGAUGAUUGCAUGAAAGUUGAUUUAGUAAUAUGUAUAAUUAGUUUAUGAAUAAACUCGCACUUUCAUUGUAGAGGUUAAGAUUUGAGUUCUACUAGCACUAUCUCUGACUGCCUUAGUAUGCAUCUGAUUGGUUAUAAUGGUUGAUCGAAUAUAUCAAAUGCAUUUGAUGGUCCCUGAAUGGUAAUGGUAGUCAAAUCUGAACCUCUAUAAUGUCAAUGAAGAAUGCAUACUGGAAAAGUAUCAAAUUAAAUUUUAAUUGUCAAUGUUGUGGAAAGUAAAUAAAUCAAACAAUUCUGUUUGUCUCAACUAACUAGUUCACUAUCACUUUGGUUUUCAAAUCAAAGAAUCUUUAGCCUGGUUGAGCUUUUGAAAAAGUAGC